AUUGGACGCUGGCGGAAUGCUUUACACAUGCAAGUCGAACGGCAGCACGGACUUCGGUCUGGUGGCGAGUGGCGAACGGGUGAGUAAUACAUCGGAACGUGCCCAAUCGUGGGGGAUAACGUAGCGAAAGCUACGCUAAUACCGCAUACGAUCUAAGGAUGAAAGCGGGGGAUCGCAAGACCUCGCGCGAUUGGAGCGGCCGAUGGCAGAUUAGGUAGUUGGUAGGGUAAAGGCCUACCAAGCCGACGAUCUGUAGCUGGUCUGAGAGGAUGAUCAGCCACACUGGGGCUGAGACACGGCCCAGACUCCUACGGGAGGCAGCAGUGGGGAAUUUUGGACAAUGGACGCAAGUCUGAUCCAGCCAUUCCGCGUGCAGGAUGAAGGCCCUCGGGUUGUAAACUGCUUUUGUACAGAACGAAAAGGCUCUGGUUAAUACCUAGGGCUCAUGACGGUACUGUAAGAAUAAGCACCGGCUAACUACGUGCCAGCCGCCGCAGUAA
This 500-nucleotide ribosomal RNA is filed under the name uncultured bacterium. RNAcentral describes it as "partial 16S ribosomal RNA". It matches the Rfam family "Bacterial small subunit ribosomal RNA", at positions 30 to 523 of the family's 1533-position model. The record is from RNAcentral.